GCGUGCGUCUGAGAGAGAGAGAGACCGAGUGGGAGAGAUAAGGAAGGAUUUGGGCCAUUUUAUGUGGGCCGAAUUUUGGGCUUCUUUUUAUUUUAAGUUGGGCCGAAAUUUUUAAAGAUUUGGGUUUUUUUUUAUGUUGGGCUUAAUUUUAAUUUAAUUGAAUUGGGCCAAAUUUUUGGGCUCUAUUUAUUUUAAUAAUUGGGCCGAAAAUUUUACCUCUUAUUUAUUUUCUUUGGGCCUUGUUGUAUUUAUUUUCAUGUGGGCCUUUAUUGUUUCUCUUUGGGCCGAGUUUACUAAUGAAAGCCCAACUGCAUUUUAUUUUAAUUGGGCUUUAUUUUAAUUUAUUGGGCCUUUGUUAUAUUAUUUCGUUGG
RNAcentral lists this long non-coding RNA (372 nucleotides) under Salvia miltiorrhiza (redroot sage). RNAcentral describes it as "long non-coding RNA (SMIL_LNC003249)". The record is from RNAcentral. Lineage: Eukaryota; Viridiplantae; Streptophyta; Magnoliopsida; Lamiales; Lamiaceae.